Molecule: long non-coding RNA, 1130 nt
Organism: Spinacia oleracea (spinach)
Lineage: Eukaryota; Viridiplantae; Streptophyta; Magnoliopsida; Caryophyllales; Amaranthaceae
Exons: 3
Source: RefSeq, a predicted model, not a curated record
UUUCUAAGACUUAUUCUAACUACUUAUACACAUUUAAGGUUUGUUUGGUCGUUAUAGGACAUAUUUAGGCUAAAAUGACAUUUUCGCUCCAAACUAUGAACUAAAGAACCUAAGGACUCAUUUUAAACUUACUAAAUGUUUUAUAUGCUUAGUUUUGACUUUCUAGAACUCAUUCCAAUCUAUUUAUGCAUAUUUAAGGCUCAUUGUGUCGUUAUAGGUCAUAUUUAGGCUAAAGUGCCAUUUUCGCUCCCAACUUUGAACUUAAGAACCUAAUGACUCAUUUUAAACUUAUUAUAUGAUUAAUAUGCUUAGUUUUUAGUUUCUAAGACUUAUUCUAAUCUAUUUAUGCACAUUUAAUGCUUGUUUGAUAGUUAUAGGUCAUAUUUAGGCUAAAAUGAGGCAUUUUCGCUCCUAACUUUAAAAUAAAGAACCUAAGCACUCAUUUUAAACUUAAGACAUGUUUAAUAUGCAUAAUUUUAACUUUCUAAGACUCGUUCCAAUCUAUUUAUGCACCUUUAAGGCUCAUUAGGUCAUUGUAGGUCAUAUUUUAAACUUAAGACAUGUUUAAUAUGUAUAUAUUUUCGAUUCUGCUAGAGAUCCACGUCGAACAGAUUAUGCAUGGGGAAUCUUGAGUUUGUAAGUUCUUUUGCUUACAAAUUACAUUAGUCUUUAAGAAACCUAAGCCAAAAUCAUAUUCAUGAGUACCCAUGUUUCGUUAAUUUUCUAGGGCAUACCAAGUGUACAAGUGCAAUGGUGGGCAUUGUCCGAAUAAAACGAGUUUUAAGUCGUGUAAACCCAUUCAUAUAGAGUGUGCUCAACAAAUCGGCGGAACUGAGUGUGGCUAUUACGUUAUGAAGUUCAUGUUAGAGAUAGUCACGUUACAACAUGACUAUGAAGGCCGGCUAGAUGAGGUCUAUACUCCGAGGACCGCGCCUUAUGCUAGUGAGGAAAUUGAUGUGGUUCGUGAGCAAUGGGCGAAGUUUUUUACCACCAAGUAUUUAUUAUUGACCUGAGGGCGCUUGAUCGUGUUGGUUUAGAUGUUAUAGAACAAUCUUUUAUGUUAAAAUGUAUGCGUACGUUGAAAUUGGAACGUAAAUAUAUUUAAAUGUAUCGGUAUGUGCACUUUUGGU